Molecule: long non-coding RNA, 5936 nt
Organism: Olea europaea var. sylvestris
Lineage: Eukaryota; Viridiplantae; Streptophyta; Magnoliopsida; Lamiales; Oleaceae
Exons: 3
Source: RefSeq, a predicted model, not a curated record
UUUUGUACAAAAUAAAUAUGUUAUGGUUUUGCCUCUGUUUGAGAACUCACUUUUCUAAAUAUUUGAUCAUAGGUUUAAUUGUGUGGGCAAUGUGUUUGACGUAAUGACUUUGAGAAGAGUCGUUUAUUAUGUAUGGUUUGAUUGUGAUUUGAAUUUAUGGUAAUUGUAUGGAGGCUGAAAGUAACGAUUGGUUUCUUCCUGAUGAAAUGAAAUAAUGUCCUAGUAAAUUUUUUGAAAUAAGGUUGAGAUGACAACGAAAAAAAAUCGAAACAUGUGUUUAUGGACGCAAUGAUUUAAAUUUUGGGAUUUCUAUUCUCAUAUUCACCAUUGAAACAAGAUUCAGAGGAGAUGAAUCAUAGGACUAAUUAUAGCCAGAAGAAUAGUGCUUAUGUAUGUGAAUUCGAUGAAUGACUGGCAUGAAGAUCUUUUAAGUACCAAUAUAUCAAAUUUGAAUAAUUUGUAGGCAACAAUAACUUUAAAGCAGUCGGAAAUCCAACGCUUGUAUCUAAGAAUUACUUUGAUUAGUAUUUGCAUAUCUUUAGGCCAGUGGCUCCCAAAAUUGGCAUCUAAUCUGGAUACAGCUGGGAAUUCUCUCCGAAGGGAAGUUGUAAGAACAAUCAAGAAAAACAAAUUAUAACAAAGUGGACAAUACUGCUGGUAAACGACUUUCACAUUUUCUUUCAUAAGACUUUUCCAUCCAAUAAACAUUCAUAAGUGCUCUUUGAUAUAUGUCUUCAACAUAAGUGGAUAACUAUCUUUUGAAGUUCUGUUGAUAACCAUAAUGGUUAAUUGGAAAUUAGUUCAAUUACAUCAUUUCAAAUAUAAACGUUAUCUAUUAUAGAGAAGUGUUACAAUGACACAUAAAGAAACCAACACUUAUGUUUUUGGCCAUCAAUAUUAAUAGAUAAUAAGCAUUCAAAUUAAGGGACAGUUAACAAACAUUGGUCAAUAAGACUUUUUAGCCACUAUUUAGUCCCUGCUAAUAUUUUGACCAAUGGUUUAUUUGAACUUUUAGUUGGUUUCUAUAAUGCACUAAUUUUUUCUAAUUAGUAAAUCUAACAAAGAAUGAACAAGAGGAAAAGGAAAAAAAAAAAGAAGAUAAAAAUAAGCAACUUACUUCCCUCAGCAGACAAAUAUAUGGUCUCUUUGAGUAAUUUUCAUUUCAAUAUAAGUGGAAAUUUGUUCUUAAUUGGAAAUUACAUAAUUGGAUAACCAUAAACAUUCAUAAGUUGUUAAUUGGAAAUUUCUCCAAGGUGUGUUGUAGUUGCCUCCCAAAAAUAUUAAAAUCUUGGAAUUCUUCCUCCCAAACUCAUUUCAAGAAUGAUGCUUUUAAUUUGUAGAACUUUUCUCUGGCAAAUGGUUACCCAAUAUUUGCUGGCACACUAAUCUUCCCUUAAGGCUUAAAUUCUAGGCUAUGUGGUUACCCUGAACAACAUAAGGAUCCAAAUAAUUUUCGUACUAAAUUUUAUAUUAAAAUUAUCUUCUUUCUAAUCCUUUUGCUUGUGCAUGUAUCUAAAUAUAAACUGACAUGUUUUAUUCUCUGAGGAAUAAGGGAUUGGUGCAUAAUUAGUCAAUUGUGCAAAAGCAUCUCGAUAAUUGUUGAAGUUGUUCUCUUUUAGUCACAAUUGUGAUAAAUUAUAGAGUGGUUCAGUUAUCUAGGUCUAACUUAUUCUGGUUGAACAUAUGUUUACUUGGAGAUAUUUGACUAAAUGCUUCCUAUGUAAGGUGUUUCAUUAUGAUUAAGCAGAAAAAAUAGUGUUUUUCUGUAUAACCAUUUAACAGUGGAAAAAAAAAAGUAUGUUAUAAUAGGUUAUAUCUUAAUAGUGUUGGUAUAAUAUCAUGGAUAAAGAUUGGGUACACCAAUCAAGAUUAUCUUAUCUCCUUAAGUUUAGAAUGUUUUUAAAUAUGUUCGUAUACACUUUUAGAUGAUUUACUUAGUGUUUUAUUAUAGAGUUUUGGAGGCAUAUCAACACGGUGUAAGAAGGUUUGCAAAUAUGGUGCAAGCCAAUGUAUGGAAUUCAGAAAAGAUCAUAUGCCCUUGCAAAUGUUGCAAAAACCUAUUUUACCAACAUUUUGAUACAAUGGGUGGGCAUUUGAUCAUUCAUGGGAUGGAUCUUACUUAUACUACGUGGGUGUUUCAUGGCGAAAAACCGAAUACAUCAUUGCCUCAUCAAGAUGUAGAAAAUUUUGAGACAUAUAGGAUGCAUUUCUUCAAGAUGACAAUAACAUAGAACCUGAGAAUGAAAGUCAAAAGAAAGAAUUUUCUAAUUUAUACGAGGGAGUUGAAAUUUCUUUAUAUCCCGAUUCUACAAAGUAUACAAGAGUAUCUGCAAUCGUUGUAUUAUACAAGCUUAAAACUACUCAUGGUAUAUCUGAUAAUGGUUUCAAUGAACUUCUUGAAAUAAUUUGAGACAUGCUACCGAUCACUCUUUCCUAUUCCUGUAAUUCAACAAAAAGGUUAUUGAAAACCUUUAAUUUGGGAUAUGAGAAGAUACAUGCAUGCGUAAAGGAUUGUUGUUUGUUUAAAAAGGAUCUAAAGGAUUUGGAGACAUGUCCAAAAUGUGCAUCUUCACAUUGGAAAGUUAAUUAACAGACUAAAAGGAUUCAAAAGGGAAUACCUGCAAAAGUUUUACGAUGUUUUCUAAUUAUACCUCUAUUUAGAAGAAUGUUUAGGUCACCUGACAUGGCAGAACAACUAAUAUGGCACUUAACUUACAAAAGUCAAGAUGGAAAAAUGCGUCAUCCUAUUGAUUCAUUAGCUUGGGAGAGAAUUGAUCAAAAAUAGCCUUCUUUUGCAUCAAAACCACGAAAUCUUAGGCUUGGCCUUUUGUCCAAUGGAUUUAAUCCUUUUGGUGAACUAAGGUCAGGUAUAGUUGUUGGCCGAUGAUUUUAGUUAUAUAUAAUCUACCUCCUUGGAUAUGCAUGUCCAAGGAAAAUUUAUUAUUGACUUUGUUAAUCCCAAGUCCAAAGCAACCUGGAAUGAUAUAGAUGUAUAUCUAAAACCACUUAUAGAAGACUUAAAGGAGUUGUGGAAUACUGGUGUUGAAAUAUAUGAUGGCUUUACCAAGUCUAUCUUCAAUUUGAAGGCUGUAUUUAUCUUGAAAAUUAAUGAUUUUUCGGCUAAUGGAAACUUAUCUGGAUAUCCCACAAAGGGCGAGGUGGCAUGUCCUGUAUGUGGUUUAUCCAUAUGUGCAAAAUGGUUGACAUAUAGUUGAAAGUUCGCAUAUUUGGGUCAUAGAAGAUUUCUUUCAUAUAAUCAUACUUUUCAAUCGAAAGAAGUUUGGUUUAAUGGAAAUAAGUAUCACAGGCCCAAUCCAAAAAUAUUAACUGGUCGAGAAGUAAUGUAUUCAAUAAAGAAUGUUAGCAAUGAUUAGGGGGAAAAAGGAAAAAAGGAAAUAGAAAAAACUAGUUACCCAUUGGCCAUGGAAAAGGAAAUCAAUAUUCUUUGAUCUACCGUAUUGGGAGGUUAGUUGUUCAAACUACUUGAAUUUAGUUAUCUUUUUGCAUAACUUUUUUUUCUAAAUUUAUAUCAUUAUUUUCAGAUACUACUUUUACGUCAUAAUUUGGACAAUUCUAUUUCUACUUGAAUAGAAUUUACAACGGAGUUUACAAACUCUCAACAAAAAACCUCUCAAAAGAGUCUCUCUGCACAUUGAGAAGAAUGUUUGUGAGAGCAUACUUGGCACUAUUCUGAAUAUGAAAGGAAAAUCAAAAGAUGGGCUCAAUUUUCGUAAGGAUUUGGUUAUUAUGGGUAUUAGAAAGAAUCUUCAUCCAGAGUUGAAAGAAAAUACAUAUUACCUAUCCGCAGCAUCAUACAUGCUAUCCAAAAGAGAGAUAGAGUUAUUUUGUAAGAGAUUAUUUGAUUUAAGAUUACCCGAUGGUUAUAGCUCUAACAUUUCAAAGUGUAUCUCAAUAACAGAUAAUAGGAUUUUAAAUAUAAAGUCUCAUCAUUGUCACGUGCUCAUACAACAAUUGUUAUCCAUUGCAUUAAGAGGACUUUUACCUAGAAGACCAAGAAAUGCAAUUUUUCGACUAUGUGCAUUUUUUAACAAAAUAUGUCAAAGAGUUAUUGAUAAAAAUAAUUUAGAAAAGUUUGAGGAGGAUGUUGCUGUGACUUUAUGUAUGCUUGAAAGGUAUUCCCUCCCUUUUUUUUUUUUGACAUAAUGAUUCAUUUAACCAUUCACCUUGGGCGUGAGGUUCAUAUUGGCGGACUGUACAAUAUCAUUGGAUGUGCCCAUUUGAGAGGUAACUUACCAUUAUACUUCUGUACUUAUUCAACCUUUCUUCUUCUAGUUUUUUAGGUCUCUCAUGCAUAUUAUGUGUGAAUUAGGUUUAUGAAGACACUUAAAGAAUAUGUUACAAAUCGUUCAAGACCUGAGGGCUGCAUAGUAGAAUGUUAUUUAGCCGAUGAAUGUAUGCAUUUUUGUAAUGCUUACAUGAAACAAGCUGCUGAGGUAGGAGUUCGACAUAAUCAAAAUGAGGAUUUCGAGAAUGAUACAACUAUUGAUGGACGUACAAUUUCUAAAGGAAAGUCAAAGAUUUUGAGUCAAGAAAUGUUAGAGGUUACUCAUCGAUACGUGUUGUUUAACAGUGUAGAAAUUGAACUAUAUAUAAUGUAAUCAAGUUAGUUAAUAAGUUAGUUUUACAUCGAUUAAUAUUUUCUCAUAAACUUGUAUUACUAUUCAUUUAUUUUAUUUUAUUUAUUUAGAUAAUCGUGCUGCCAAGAAUGAAACCUUAUUACAAAUGAAACAUAUGGAGACUUUCACUUCUUGGUUUGCAGAAAAAGACAAAGAAGACAAUUGUAACAUGUCAAGUAUAUUGAAAUGGCUUGCACGACGACCUAGAUGUGAGGUGAUGUCACAUUCUGGUUAUGUUGUCAAUGGACAUUGAUUUCAUACAACCAAUGUUAGUAGAAGUACACAAAAUAGUGGUGUUUCUAUUGAGGCACAAACUAUUUAUUGAUCUAGUGUGAAGGAUACAAGUCAUGUAGUUGGUAAAAUUUCGUAUUAUGGUGUUAUAAAAGAUAUAAUUCUACUAGACUAUCAUAGUUUUAAAGUUCCUAUAUUUCAUUGUGAUUGGGCAAAUAUAGAUAGCGGAGUCAAGAUUGAAGAAGGGUUUACAUUGGUAAAUCUUCAUAGAGGACAACAUCAAUUUGAAAGAGAUCCAUUUAUUUUAGCAUCACAAGCGAAAUAAGUUUUUUAUUCUAGAGAAAGUGAUACGUCUAGUUGGUAUAUUGUAUUGAAGGCGCCUCCUAGAGGAUUUCAUGAGUCAGAAAAUUUUGAUGAUGAUGCUUAUACUCCUUCCACGUUAGCUGCAUCAUCAAGACUUGAUAUGACUGUUGAAGAUGAAAGUUACGUGAGAUAUGACUUUGAGGGCAUUGAUAUUGAAUAUGAUACAAAUGAUGAAAGCUGACUUUUGUGGAAACUGAUGUGUAAAAUGAUUGGACAUAAUAUUUCAAAUCUUGGCGAAUCAUGUACUCAGGGCUACAAGAAAUCAAAACGAGCUAAAAAAGCUUUAGUUGUUGCUGCAACAAGAGAAGGAAAUGAAGGCAUAAGAAUAUCAGAGAGAGGUUCUAAUUCUGUACAACAUGAUGCAGAAGUCUUACCAAAUAGCAUCAGUACUAUUGAAAAAGGAAAGAAAGGAAGGGGUCGAGCAAAGUUGAACUAUCUCAACAACGGAAAAUGAGCAAAGUUAACUGUAAAAUUUAAUGAAAGAAGGUAACCAAUUUGUAAAGGAUCAAAUAAAUUAUCGUCGUUCCUUGAAACGACAGCUAGGGAACUUGUACCUAUUAUAAAGAAAGGUUGGUAAGAUUUCAACGAAAGUUUUCUUGAUGACAUACGGGUGCUUGUGUAGGUGAUGUAAACUUGACAUCACAUAUAGUGUAAAUUAAAUUACUAUUAAUCUUGUAUCUUUUGAUGCAGCAAAGGUUUGAUAUU